This 247-nucleotide ribosomal RNA is filed under the name uncultured bacterium. RNAcentral describes it as "partial 16S ribosomal RNA". It matches the Rfam family "Bacterial small subunit ribosomal RNA", at positions 86 to 334 of the family's 1533-position model. The record is from RNAcentral.
AGAUGGCGACCGGCGCACGGGGGAGUAACACGUAUCCAACCUGCCGAUAACUCGGGGAUAGCCUUUCGAAAGAAAGAUUAAUACCCGAUGGUAUAAUCAGACCGCAUGGUUUGAUUAUUAAAGAAUUUCGGUUAUCGAUGGGGAUGCGUUCCAUUAGGCAGUUGGUGAGGUAACGGCUCACCAAACCUUCGAUGGAUAGGGGUUCUGAGAGGAAGGUCCCCCACAUUGGAACUGAGACACGGUCCAA